UGCCCCAGUACGGCGAGUGAGCGGCAACAGCUCAAAUUUGAAAUCUGGCUCUCGGGCCCGAGUUGUAAUUUGUAGAGGAUGCUUUUGGUGAGGUGCCUUCCGAGUUCCCUGGAACGGGACGCCAUAGAGGGUGAGAGCCCCGUCUGGUUGGACGCCGAACCUCUGUAAAGCUCCUUCGACGAGUCGAGUAGUUUGGGAAUGCUGCUCUAAAUGGGAGGUAUAUGUCUUCUAAAGCUAAAUACCGGCCAGAGACCGAUAGCGCACAAGUAGAGUGAUCGAAAGAUGAAAAGAACUUUGAAAAGAGAGUUAAAAAGUACGUGAAAUUGUUGAAAGGGAAGCGCUUGUGACCAGACUUGGGCUUGGUUGAUCAUCCGGGGUUCUCCCCGGUGCACUCUUCCGGCCCAGGCCAGCAUCAGUUCGCCCUGGGGGACAAAGGCUUCGGGAACGUGGCUCUCUCCGGGGAGUGUUAUAGCCCGUUGCGUAAUACCCUGUGGCGGACUGAGGUUCGCGCAUUCGCAAGGAUGCUGGCGUAAUGGUCAUCAGUGACCCGUCUUGAAACACGGACCAAGGAGUCGUCUUCGUAUGCGAGUGUUCGGGUGUCAAACCCCUACGCGAAAUGAAAGUGAACGCAGGUGAGAGCUUCGGCGCAUCAUCGACCGAUCCUGAUGUUAUCGGAUGGAUUUGAGUAAGAGCAUACGGGGCCGGACCCGAAAGAAGGUGAACUAUGCCUGUGUAGGGUGAAGCCAGAGGAAACUCUGGUGGAGGCUCGCAGCGGUUCUGACGUGCAAAUCGAUCGUCAAACAUGGGCAUG
Molecule: ribosomal RNA, 811 nt
Filed under: Fusarium solani
Lineage: Eukaryota; Fungi; Ascomycota; Sordariomycetes; Hypocreales; Nectriaceae
Description: eukaryotic LSU rRNA
Rfam family: Eukaryotic large subunit ribosomal RNA
Source: RNAcentral